UAAAGCGAUUCAGCGGGUUACGAUUGACGGAGCGAAGCGACGUCAAAGCGUAUACAAAGUCGAGUCGGUUUAAGGAUACGUUCGUUGGGUAGGGGAGCGUUCUGUAAGCCUGUGAAGGUGGCCUGUGAGGGUUGCUGGAGGUAUCAGAAGUGCGAAUGCUGACAUAAGUAACGAUAAAGCGGGUGAAAAGCCCGCUCGCCGGAAGACCAAGGGUUCCUGUCCAACGUUAAUCGGGGCAGGGUGAGUCGACCCCUAAGGCGAGGCCGAAAGGCGUAGUCGAUGGGAAACGGGUUAAUAUUCCCGUACUUGGUGUUACUGCGAAGGGGGGACGGAGAAGGCUAUGUUGGCCGGGCGACGGUUGUCCCGGUUUAAGCGUGUAGGUGUGUGUUCCAGGUAAAUCCGGUUCACUUUAACACUGAGGCGUGACGACGAGGCACUACGGUGCUGAAGCAACAAAUGCCCUGCUUCCAGGAAAAGCCUCUAAGCAUCAGGUAACAUCAAAUCGUACCCCAAACCGACACAGGUGGUCAGGUAGAGAAUACCAAGGCGCUUGAGAGAACUCGGGUGAAGGAACUAGGCAAAAUGGUGCCGUAACU
Molecule: ribosomal RNA, 596 nt
Filed under: Salmonella enterica subsp. enterica serovar Derby
Lineage: Bacteria; Pseudomonadati; Pseudomonadota; Gammaproteobacteria; Enterobacterales; Enterobacteriaceae
Description: partial 23S ribosomal RNA
Rfam family: Bacterial large subunit ribosomal RNA
Source: RNAcentral